This 273-nucleotide ribosomal RNA is filed under the name uncultured bacterium. RNAcentral's name for it is "partial 16S ribosomal RNA". It matches the Rfam family "Bacterial small subunit ribosomal RNA", at positions 523 to 796 of the family's 1533-position model. The record is from RNAcentral.
AUACGGAGGGUGCAAGCGUUACUCGGAAUCACUGGGCGUAAAGCGCGCGCAGGCGGCUAUUUAAGUUGGAAGUGAAAGCCUACGGCUCAACCGUAGAACUGCAUCCAAAACUAUUUAGCUAGAGUGUGGGAGAGGAAGAUGGAAUUAGUUGUGUAGGGGUAAAAUCCGUAGAGAUAGCUAGGAUACCAAAAGCGAAGGCAAUCUUCUGGAACACUACUGACGCUGAGGCGCGAAAGCGUGGGGAGCAAACAGGAGUAGAAACCCUAGUAGUCC